CAGCAGCCGCGGGAAUACGUAGGGUGCAAGCGUUAAUCGGAAUUACUGGGCGUAAAGCGUGCGCAGGCGGUUGUGUAAGACAGGUGUGAAAUCCCCGGGCUUAACCUGGGAACUGCGCUUGUGACUGCACAGCUAGAGUAUGGCAGAGGGGGGUGGAAUUCCACGUGCAGCAGUGAAAUGCGUAGAGAUGUGGAGGAACACCGAUGGCGAAGGCAGCCCCCUGGGCCAAUACUGACGCUCAAGCACGAAAGCGUGGGGAGCAAACAGGAUUAGAUACCCCCGUAGUCCCUGUCUCUUAUAC
RNAcentral lists this ribosomal RNA (301 nucleotides) under uncultured bacterium. Its description in RNAcentral is "partial 16S ribosomal RNA". It matches the Rfam family "Bacterial small subunit ribosomal RNA", at positions 509 to 807 of the family's 1533-position model. The record is from RNAcentral.